AUCCUGCCGGAGGCCAUUGCUAUCGGAAUCCGAUUUAGCCAUGCUAGUCGCACGGGUUUAGACCCGUGGCGAACAGCUCAGUAACACGUGGCCAAACUGCCCUGUGGACGGGGAUAAUCUCGGGAAACUGAGGCUAAUCCCCGAUAGGGCUUCCAUCCUGGAGUGGAGGAAGUCCAAAAGUUGCGCUGCGGCACCACAGGAUGUGGCUGCGGCCGAUUAGGUAGACGGUGGGGUAACGGCCCACCGUGCCAGUAAUCGGUACGGGUGAUGAGAGUCAGAGCCCGGAGACGGUAUCUGAGACAAGAUACCGGGCCCUACGGGGCGCAGCAGGCGCGAAACCUUUACACUGCACGACAGUGCGAUAGGGGGAUUCCGAGUGCGAGGGCAUACAGUCCUCGCUUUUCUGGACCGUAAGGAGGUCCAAGAAUAAGGGCUGGGCAAGACCGGUGCCAGCCGCCGCGGUAAUACCGGCAGCCCGAGUGAUGGCCGAUAUUAUUGGGCCUAAAGCGUCCGUAGCUGGCCAGACAAGUCCGUUGGGAAAUCCACGCGCUCAACGCGUGGGCGUCCAGCGGAAACUGCCUGGCUUGGGGCCGGAGGACUCGAGGGGUACGUCCGGGGUAGGAGUGAAAUCCCGUAAUCCUGGACGGACCACCGGUGGCGAAAGCGCCUCGAGAGGACGGACCCGACAGUGAGGGACGAAAGCCAGGGUCUCGAACCGGAUUAGAUACCCGGGUAGUCCUGGCCGUAAACGAUGUCUGCUAGGUGUGGCGCAGGCUACGAGCCUGCGCUGUGCCGCAGGGAAGCCGUGAAGCAGACCGCCUGGGAAGUACGUCCGCAAGGAUGAAACUUAAAGGAAUUGGCGGGGGAGCACUACAACCGGAGGAGCCUGCGGUUUAAUUGGACUCAACGCCGGACAUCUCACCGGCACCGACAACAGUAAUGACGGUCAGGUUGAUGACCUUACCCGAGUUGUUGAGAGGAGGUGCAUGGCCGCCGUCAGCUCGUACCGUGAGGCGUCCUGUUAAGUCAGGCAACGAGCGAGACCCGCAUCCCUAGUUGCCAGCAACACCAUUGGUGGUUGGGUACACUAGGGAGACUGCCGCUGCUAAAGCGGAGGAAGGAACGGGCAACGGUAGGUCAGUAUGCCCCGAAUGUGCCGGGCAACACGCGGGCUACAAUGGCUAAGACAAUGGGUCGCUAUCUCGACAGAGAACGCUAAUCUCAAAACUUAGUCGUAGUUCGGAUUGAGGGCUGAAACUCGCCCUCAUGAAGCUGGAUUCGGUAGUAGCCGCCUUUCAGCAGAAGGCGACGAAUACGUCCCUGCUCCUUGUACACACCGCCCGUCA
This 1346-nucleotide ribosomal RNA is filed under the name uncultured haloarchaeon. RNAcentral's name for it is "bacterial SSU rRNA". It matches the Rfam family "Archaeal small subunit ribosomal RNA". The record is from RNAcentral. Lineage: Archaea; Methanobacteriati; Methanobacteriota; Halobacteria; Halobacteriales; Halobacteriaceae.